GAUCAUGGCUCAGGACGAACGCUGGCGGCGUGCCUAACACAUGCAAGUCGAGCGAGGAGAUCCUUCGGGAUGAUCCUAGCGGCGGACGGGUGAGUAACACGUGGGCAACCUGCCUCAUAGAGAGGAAUAGCCUUCCGAAAGGGAGAUUAAUACCUCAUAACAUUGCAGUUUCGCAUGGAACAGCAAUUAAAGGAGUAAUCCGCUAUGAGAUGGGCCCGCGGCGCAUUAGCUAGUUGGUGAGGUAACGGCUCACCAAGGCGACGAUGCGUAGCCGACCUGAGAGGGUGAUCGGCCACAUUGGGACUGAGACACGGCCCAGACUCCUACGGGAGGCAGCAGUGGGGAAUAUUGCACAAUGGGGGAAACCCUGAUGCCAGCAACGCCGCGUGAGUGAUGACGGCCUUCGGGUUGUAAAGCUCUGUCUUCAGGGACGAUAAUGACGGUACCUGAGGAGGAAGCCACGGCUAACUACGUGCCAGCCGCCGC
This 486-nucleotide ribosomal RNA is filed under the name uncultured bacterium. RNAcentral describes it as "bacterial SSU rRNA". It matches the Rfam family "Bacterial small subunit ribosomal RNA", at positions 15 to 518 of the family's 1533-position model. The record is from RNAcentral.